CCUACGGGGGGCUGCAGUGGGGAAUAUUGGACAAUGGGGGGAACCCUGAUCCAGCCAUGCCGCGUGUGUGAAGAAGGCCCUCGGGUUGUAAAGCACUUUCAGUGAGGAAGAACGCCUGGUGGUUAAUACCCAUCAGGAAAGACAUCACUCACAGAAGAAGCACCGGCUAACUCCGUGCCAGCAGCCGCGGUAAUACGGAGGGUGCGAGCGUUAAUCGGAAUUACUGGGCGUAAAGCGCGCGUAGGUGGCUUGAUAAGCCGGUUGUGAAAGCCCCGGGCUCAACCUGGGAACGGCAUCCGGAACUGUCAAGCUAGAGUGCAGGAGAGGAAGGUAGAAUUCCCGGUGUAGAGGUGAAAUGCGUAGAGAUCGGGAGGAAUACCAGUGGCGAAGGCGGCCUUCUGGACUGACACUGACACUGAGGUGCGAAAGCGUGGGUAGCAAACAGGAUUAGAUACCCUUGUAGUC
This 465-nucleotide ribosomal RNA is filed under the name Vreelandella stevensii. RNAcentral's name for it is "partial 16S ribosomal RNA". It matches the Rfam family "Bacterial small subunit ribosomal RNA", at positions 338 to 795 of the family's 1533-position model. Lineage: Bacteria; Pseudomonadati; Pseudomonadota; Gammaproteobacteria; Oceanospirillales; Halomonadaceae. The record is from RNAcentral.